AGGUAACAUGAGAGCUUGCUCUUGAUGACGAGUGGCGCACGGGUGCGUAACGCGUAUGCAAUCUACCUAUAACUGAGGAAUAGCCCAGAGAAAUUUGGAUUAAUACCUCAUAAUAAUAUCUUUUGGCAUCAUUAGAUAUUUAAAACUCCGGUGGUUAUAGAUGAGCAUGCGUUCUAUUAGUUUGUUGGUGAGGUAAAGGCUCACCAAGACUUCGAUAGAUAGGGGGCCUGAAAGGGUGAUCCCCCACACUGGUACUGAGACACGGACCAGACUCCUACGGGAGGCAGCAGUGAGGAAUAUUGCACAAUGGAGGAAACUCUGAUGCAGCCAUGCCGCGUGCAGGAUGACGGCCCUACGGGUUGUAAACUGCUUUUUUACAAGAAGAAACCUUGGUACGUGUACCAACUUGACGGUAUUGUAAGAAUAAGCACCGGCUAACUCCGUGCCAGCAGCCGCGGUAAUACGGAGGGUGCAAGCGUUAUCCGGAUUUAUUAGGUUUAAAGGGUUCGCAGGCGGAAUUUUAAGUCAGUGGUGAAAGCCUAUAGCUCAACUAUAGAACUGCCACUGAUACUGAUAUUCUUGAGUAUAGAUGAAGUGGGCGGAAUAUGUCAUGUAGCGGUGAAAUGCAUAGAUAUGACAUGGAACACCAAUUGCGAAGGCAGCUCACUAAACUAUUACUGACGCUCAUGAACGAAAGCAUGGGGAGCGAACAGGAUUAGAUACCCUGGUAGUCCAUGCCGUAAACGAUGAUCACUAGACGUUGGCGAUAUAAUGUCAGUGUUUAAGAGAAAUCAUUAAGUGAUCCACCUGNNNGUACGUUCGCAAGAAUGAAACUCAAAGGAAUUGACGGGGGCCCGCACAAGCGGANGAACAUGUGGUUUAAUUCGAUGAUACGCGAGGAACCUUACCAAGGCUUAAAUGUAGAUUGACAGAUUGUGAAAACAGUUUUUCUUCGGACAAUUUACNAGGUGCUGCAUGGUUGUCGUCAGCUCGUGCCGUGAGGUGUCGGGNUAAGUCCCAUAACGAGCGCAACCCCUAUUUUAGUUACCAGCGAGUAAUGUCGGGNACU
This 1069-nucleotide ribosomal RNA is filed under the name uncultured Sphingobacteriales bacterium. Its description in RNAcentral is "SSU rRNA". It matches the Rfam family "Bacterial small subunit ribosomal RNA", at positions 67 to 1139 of the family's 1533-position model. Lineage: Bacteria; Pseudomonadati; Bacteroidota; Sphingobacteriia; Sphingobacteriales. The record is from RNAcentral.